GACGAACGCUGGCGGCGUGCUUAACACAUGCAAGUCGAACGGUGAAGCGCCUUCCUUUUUGGUGGGUGUGGAUGAGUGGCGAACGGGUGAGUAACACGUGAGUAACCUGCCCCCUUCUUCUGGAUAACCGCAUGAAAGUGUGGCUAAUACGGGAUAUUCUGGGUCUGUCGCAUGAUGGGUCUGGGAAAGAUAUUGUUUCGGUGGGGGAUGGGCUCGCGGCCUAUCAGCUUGUUGGUGGGGUGAUGGCCUACCAAGGCGGUGACGGGUAGCCGGCCUGAGAGGGUGGACGGUCACACUGGGACUGAGACACGGCCCGGACUCCUACGGGAGGCAGCAGUGGGGAAUAUUGCACAAUGGGCGCAAGCCUGAUGCAGCGACGCCGCGUGAGGGAUGGAGGCCUUCGGGUUGUGAACCUCUUUCGCCAGUGAAGCAGGCCUGCCUCGUUUGUGGGUGGGUUGACGGUAGCUGGAUAAGAAGCGCCGGCUAACUACGUG
RNAcentral lists this ribosomal RNA (494 nucleotides) under uncultured bacterium. Its description in RNAcentral is "partial 16S ribosomal RNA". It matches the Rfam family "Bacterial small subunit ribosomal RNA", at positions 28 to 507 of the family's 1533-position model. The record is from RNAcentral.